Mirounga angustirostris (Northern elephant seal) is the source of this 3073-nucleotide long non-coding RNA. RefSeq lists it as uncharacterized. The record is from RefSeq and is a predicted model, not a curated record. The transcript has 3 exons. NCBI's taxonomy places the organism in Eukaryota, Metazoa, Chordata, Mammalia, Carnivora, Phocidae.
GAUAAUUCAUGGGCUACUGCCAUGCCAACAGAUCUUAUCUUAGCUGUUUGGUUUUAAACCCAGGAGCAGAAAAGGAGGGAAUUACAAUGUGACUUGUAUCCAAGGACAGUGCAUUCUUUAGGCCUUUUGGAGGUAAACUUAUGAUCAACACUUUGAUACUGUGUUUAGCUUUAUUAAAUUAUUAUGCCAAGUGCAUUUCUAUUUGGAACCAUUUAUUUAUUUAUUUUUUGAAAAAGGAAUAAUACUUGUAUUGGCUGAAGUUAGUGAAGAGUUCAAACUUCCCGUAAAUUGCCUCUGUGAUUCCCCCACAGCCAUCAGCUUCUUUGAAGUGGGAUGGCGACUUGAAUAAGCACUUUUGACCUUGGCCCACACAUUGCUCUGCUGGAAGGAAAAGACUCUGCUUUACCUUUGACUGUUCCUUUCUCCUAUAGAAACUGGUUUCUAAAGACUAAGAAGAGACAUUCUCAAAAAGGACAUAUCAGACAUGCGUGGUGGGUUGGGGGUGAGCAGAGCCUAAGAAGUUAACCCACGAAAAGACCUGGAGAAAGAGAAUCCAUGAGGGCAGAUGAAGAGAAUGGAAGUGAGAGCCUGAUCCCCUCUUGGGCUAGAGUGAACUCAUAAUUUAAAGGACAGAACAUCCAGAUUCUUACUCAUCAUUCCUGUAUUUAAACUAAACUGGGUGAAAGUACAGCUGACCAAGUUUUCAUCAGCAGGAGCCUGAGCCCCUCCCACUGAGUCCUCUCUCUCCCCUGAAGACAUUUGAGUCUGUCAGCUGACCUGCAAACUCAGUGGAACAGUUUGAAGACCACUGACAACCUGACUCGGCCUGGUGAAAAUCCAUGGAAAAUGUGCUUGUGAAGCAAAAUGGACCCAGGAAAACCCCGCUUGGGCUCCGCAAGGUCUGCGUUUAUUUUCUGCUGCCCCCACCCCAUCCCUCACCCCUGGGGGAAUGGGGAACUUUGCUGCACUAAGGAUUGCACCACUGGGGACUUGGCCUUUCCCCUUUCACUUCUCCACUGGGGGCCCUUCAGCACAAUAUAUGCUUCAUCCACCUCUGUGAGUACAAAGCCAUUUCACUGGGGAGGGGGGUUCUCUGUUGUAAUUAAGAAUUUGAGCUCUAGAGUCUGACUGCCAGGGCUCAAAGCCAGGCUCCAGGACUUGCUAGAUGCAAGAGCCUAGGCAGUCACUUACUCCCAUUUUGUCCCAAAUUUCCUCACUGGUGAUAUAAGGACAGUAAUAGCACCUGCCUCACAGGGUUGCUGUAAGGAUUAAACAAGAUAAUGACUGUAAGUCCUUUAGAACAGUGACAGAUAGAGUAAAUGUUUGGCAAAUACAAGAUGUCAUUAGGAACACAGUCUGUUUGCUUGCCUGACACAGAACAGCUAGCUCAAAUAGUUUGCUCCUUUUGCACUUAAUUUUCUGGGUCAUCUAAAUUUUCCUUGCUGGCUCCAAAUCGAACAUGUGUCCUCUGCAAUCACACCUAUGAUGUGUAAGUUUGAGAAGUACCACAUCAUUUCCAGGUGUCACUGCUUUCCUUCUGUUCUCUGAGCAGCAAAACCAUAAUGACUACUCCCAGAAGUUUCUAGAAACUCCAACUUUGUUGGUUUUAGUUUUCCCAAAGAUACUUUGUCUUUCAACUCCUAUAGUUCUUUUAGUUUGACUUUUCCUUCUUGUAUCUUGAAAAAUCUAUAUUUCAAACAAUUUUUAAUUAGUACAAACAGGACUGGCCACAUAAUUUUCAGGACCCAUUGCAAAAUGAAAAUGUAGGUGCCUUGUUCACAAUUAUUAAGAAUUUCAAGGCAGUGACAGCAAAGCAUUAAACCAAGUGCAGGGCCAUGAAACUGGCCCUGAGUACAAACAUAUUUAAAGGCUUUGCUUUAUUUAUGCCACAAUCAGGAUGGGAUAUGCAAUUUACACAGUAAGAUUUUUGUCACUUGCUAGACCCCAAGACCUAACUUUUACUGUCUACCUGCUUGUACUCACUAGCCUUUGUCUUAUAUUUUUCCUUAAUCUCUUCUUUCUGGCUUGCCUCUUAACUCUGGCAAAUGAAACCUGAAACCACCCCUCAGGGGAUGGCAACUGCCCAGACAAGACCACCCAGACCCUUUGAGUUAACCCCCCACCUCCUCUCAAAGGCCUGCACAGAUGGACUGUGGAGUGACCCCACCCCUCAUGACUGGUAGUUGCCUUUACCUCAUCAUAAUACUAAAAUUUCCACCCAAGAAGGAGACUCAGCCUCAUUUAUAUGACAUGCAAUGUAUGUAUAGGCAUGUUUCCUUAAGGCGCAUGAUCAAUCUUAUGUCUGCCUCCACAUAGGAUGACAAGGCUUCCCUAUCUAAAAUAUUUAUCCUAUAGAUUUUGGAUACCAGCCCUUUAUCUGUUAUGUCAUUUUCUUCUCCCAUUCCAUAGGUUGUCUUUUAGUUUUGUUGACUGUUUCCUUUGCUGUGCAGAAGCUUUUUAUCUUGAUGAAGUCCCCAAAGUUCAUUUUUGCCUUUGUUUUUCUUGCCUUUAGAGAUGUGUCUUGCAAGAGGUUGCUGCGGCCUAAGUUGAAAUGGUUGCUGCCUAUGUUCUCCUCUAGGAUUUUGAUGGAUUCCUAUAUCACAUUUAGAUCUUUCAUCCAUUUUGAGUUUAUAUUUGUGUAAGGUGUAAGGAAAUGGUCCAGUUUCAUCCUUCUGCAUGUGGCUGUCCAAUUUUCCCAGCACCAUUUAUUAAAGAGACUGUCUUUUUUCCAUUGGAUAUUCUUCCCUGCUUUACCAAAGAUUAGUUGACCAUAGAGUUGAGGGUCCAUUUCUGGGCUCUCUAUUCUGUUCCAUUGAUCUAUGUGUCUGUUUUUGUGCCAGUACCAUGCUGUCUUGAUGAUUACAGCUUUGUAAUAGAGCUUGAAGUCCGGAAUUGUGAUGCCACCAGGUUUGGUUUUCUUUUUCAACAUUCCUCUGGCUAUUUGGGGUCUUUUCUGGUUCCAUACAAAUUUUAGGAUUAUUUGUUCCAGCUCUGUGAAAAAUGUCGAUGGUAUUUUGAUAGGGAUUGCAUUGAAUGUGUAGAUUGCUCUGGGAAGCAUAGGCAUUUUAAGAAA